Long non-coding RNA from Xenia sp. Carnegie-2017, 530 nucleotides. RefSeq lists it as uncharacterized. Lineage: Eukaryota; Metazoa; Cnidaria; Anthozoa; Malacalcyonacea; Xeniidae. The record is from RefSeq and is a predicted model, not a curated record. The transcript is spliced from 2 exons.
CAAGAAUCUACGAAAAGAAAUAAAAUACUUUUUAUAAUCUAGACAGAGCAUCAGGCACCGAUACAACAAAACUGUGAUACUUCAGUGUCCUAUAGAAGCAACACUAGAUUCCCAAAGAACUUUACCGCUUGAAAAAUAGCAAUGAUUAUCAUUACGAAUUGCUGGGAAAAAAGGAGAACUUACAAACACUUGAGCUGUUCUAUAAAAUCAUCAAACGAUUCCUGGAAGAAAGAAACAGGUUUUUCUCUGCAAUAAUAUUAAUACAUCAGAAUAUAUGUAAACAAUCCAUACUUAUAACAUUUAUUAAUUCAAGAAAAUUCAAGAUACGACAACAAGAAUGAUAGCUGCAUUCUGAAAUUGUCACUAUACUGAGAUCAUCAUAAACAUUUACAAGCACGUGAUGUUACAUGCUGUUGCUGGAGGCAUAGUUUGAGUCUCAAAAUUGGAGAGUGAAGACUGGAUUUGUAUGAUUUUGUAUGUCGUUAGUAAUAAAAUUCCUUUUCUCUGUGUAGUAUAGAGAAAAUUUGCAA